GAUGACGGAAUUGGCGGGCUAUUAAAAUACCCGAAUCUGAAAUGAGAGUCCAGGUUUCACUUAACUGUCAUUCUUUGGACAAAUCUAACUCGAAUGUUUCGAUUUUGUUAUUCAAUUUAGGAUUUGGAUGCAUCAAUUCUGUGGUUUUGGGAGCAGCAUACAGAACCAGAGAGACGAGUUCUAGCUUUCAAACAUCGUAAACUGACCCUUUCAGAUUUUCUAUUUAUAUUUUUUUCAGUGAUUGUCGAAAUUGCAAUUUUGCAAAAUUAGUUUGUUUCCAUGUCUCAGUGAUUUAGUUUAUAAUCCCUGUUGAUAUCUUCUUCUCAUCUAAAUGCAUUGUUUCAUUUCAUUAAUUUUUUCCGAUCGGUGUUCGCCUUUAGUUAUUUUGCUAACUAAAUAAUUUUGAACAUGUUGAAUAAUAGGUUAAAUGCAUAUUGAAGUCAGAACACUUUUUGUUAGUAGAAAAUGAGAUUCUCUAGUGUUAGGGAACUAAUUUGUCCAAUAAGGCAUUGGAAUGAAAGAGUAUGUUGAGAUGUAAUUGUUGUUGUAGUAACCAGUUUUAAUCAACUGUUCGUUAUAUUUUUCUUUUUAAUGAGCGAAAAAUUCUUGAGUGCCUAAAAUUAGAAAAGUAACACUACAUUGUUCUGGUUCAGAGUAUUUUAAUUUUAAUGGACCUGAUAUAAUUGCCUUUGAUUACUAGUAUAGUGUAUACAAAGAUUUUUGACCCUUUAUAUACGAAGCACGGAAGCAAGAGUAUCUUGUUAAGAAGAGAAAGUGCUAAUCUGUUGCUAAUAUAUAGAGAGUGUAGAUUCCAUGCAUCAUUUGAAGCUGCAGGUUUGUGCUAGUUUCCGCUUAGGUAGUGACAUUUUUUACCUUUACAUUGGCAUUGCUGCUUUGCAAAUUAUAUUGCUAAAGAAAUAUAUAUGGCCCAACUGGAUUGUUCUGUGUUUUGUAACAAACCAUGAACAUCCAUCCAUGCUUGGAUCUACCGGACUUAAAAGUGUUUCAGAGCAUUUGAAGUUAUAGGUGCUGGAGUCGUUGGGCUCCUUAGCUUUGCAACCAUUUCUUAUUCAGAUGAGCCCGAAGAAGAUCCAGUUAUCCAUGCCUCACGAAGCAUACAUUGAGGAAUGAGGAAGAAACAAAGGGCCAUGGAGGCGGAAAUUGAGGUGGUCGAUGAGCCUAGUGAUGAAGGUUAGAUGUUCACGACCCGGAAAACUGAGUGAUUGAUUUUCACAGCUUUAUGCUAAUGAAGCAGCUUCUGGCUUUGAUUAUGGAUGUACUCAUCCUCCUAAUCUAGGUCUUAUCACUAAGGACCACACAAGGAGCCAGAGUGAUCAUUCUUCAUGUGGUAGUAUGUGCUCAAGAACCUGACCCUGGUGCGCUCUGAAACUGCUUUGAACCGAAGCUUGGCCCGUUUGAAUCCGCCAUUACCUGUGGAUUCAUAGGGGACUCUCAAAGUGAUCUGUCCGGCAAAUGCCUCUAUAAGCAUAGACCCUUGGCAGGAAUUGCUGGCAUCUCCUACCGAAAACAUGAGGUCAUAAACUUUUCCUUUCUGAGUCCUCACUACUUGUGCUAUUGCGCUUUCUCUUCCAGCCACAAGCUCAAUGGCGCGCUUGCCCUCUGGCACGGUGAAGUGUUCAGCAUCAACGUAUUUUACUGCCUUGAGUGAUUCGAUAAUCCAUCCGGGCAAAGGUGAGUGAUCAUCCUCAAUGUUUGGUGGAAUUAGAACACCCCAGCUUGUGUUGGGGAAGAUAUAUGGACCCUCUUCGAAGUUUCCGUUCUUCAACAUGUUGCCUGCUUUUCAUUUUAUGCAUUAGAAUUUGAACUUUACUAACUUUUAGACACACAUAGUAUAAAAGUUUCACGUUGCCAACUUAAA
Molecule: long non-coding RNA, 1879 nt
Organism: Lycium barbarum (goji berry)
Lineage: Eukaryota; Viridiplantae; Streptophyta; Magnoliopsida; Solanales; Solanaceae
Exons: 3
Source: RefSeq, a predicted model, not a curated record